This 492-nucleotide ribosomal RNA is filed under the name uncultured bacterium. RNAcentral's name for it is "partial 16S ribosomal RNA". It matches the Rfam family "Bacterial small subunit ribosomal RNA", at positions 29 to 507 of the family's 1533-position model. The record is from RNAcentral.
AGUGAACGCUGGCGGUAGGCCUAACACAUGCAAGUCGAACGGCAGCACAGUAAGAGCUUGCUCUUACGGGUGGCGAGUGGCGGACGGGUGAGGAAUACAUCGGAAUCUACUUUUUCGUGGGGGAUAACGUAGGGAAACUUACGCUAAUACCGCAUACGACCUACGGGUGAAAGCAGGGGAUCUUCGGACCUUGCGCGAUUGAAUGAGCCGCUGUCGGAUUAGCUAGUUGGCGGGGUAAAGGCCCACCAAGGCGACGAUCCGUAGCUGGUCUGAGAGGAUGAUCGGCCACACUGGAACGGAGACACGGUCCAGACUCCUACGGGAGGCAGCAGUGGGGAAUAUUGGACAAUGGGCGCAAGCCUGAUCCAGCCAUACCGCGUGGGUGAAGAAGGCCCUCGGGUUGUAAAGCCCUUUUGUUGGGAAAGAAAAGCAGCAGGUUAAUACCCCGCUGUUCUGACGGUACCCAAAGAAUAAGCACCGGCUAACUUCGUG